CCGAAUCCAAACUUUGAACUUCUAUAACUCAAUAACCGAGCCAAGGACCAGAACCAUGAAUAAAAUCAAUAAAAAGACCUCAAACAUUCAAACAACCAUCUUGGUUUUAAUCCAUAUUGAACAAAAAUCCAGAAGAAGAAACUAGCUUUUUUUUUUUUAUUUCUAUCCAUAAAUUUCCUGUUUGUUAAAGAUAGGGUGGGGUCUGUCGAGAAUAAGUGACUAGCGGCUGAGAGAUUUUUUGUUGGUAUGGGAUUUUUUGUUCUUUUUUAAGCUGUUGCGCUACUCUCCCUCUUUUCCUCUAGGGUUCGUCUCUGUUUUAUUGUAUUUUGCGCUCCUAGCAGCCUUGGAUCUUCAAGGUUUUGGUUCUUUGCCAUUUUUGGCUUUUUCUUGAUUCUGAGGAGAUAAACAGCGGAUUCUCCUAGAGUCUAGGGUGUCUUUUUGUUAUGUAGAGAGGGAUUUUAG
Molecule: long non-coding RNA, 462 nt
Filed under: Nicotiana benthamiana
Lineage: Eukaryota; Viridiplantae; Streptophyta; Magnoliopsida; Solanales; Solanaceae
Description: long non-coding RNA (NBEN_LNC031329)
Source: RNAcentral